CCGUGGAUUCUUGACGAUGGAGACCGCUUUUCUCCAUCUCUGCAAGGCUUCCUCUGAUGGAUUCUUGUGCGGCACUUCAAAGUCCUUCAAAAGGUUCUCCAUUCUGCUUGGGACUGCAAGUCUGUAUGUGAAACUUCAGCUGAGGAGGCCAAUAGUAGUGCUAAGACUCUGUUUGGUAAGAGGGAAAUGAGAGGAAAGGAAAGAGAAAGGAGAAGAAAAUUAAGCUACAAGUACUGUUGCAUACAUGGAAGGAAGGAGAUGGGAGUACUGUUG
Molecule: unclassified non-coding RNA, 273 nt
Filed under: Hevea brasiliensis (rubber tree)
Lineage: Eukaryota; Viridiplantae; Streptophyta; Magnoliopsida; Malpighiales; Euphorbiaceae
Source: RNAcentral